GAUGAACGCUGACGGCGUGCUUAACACAUGCAAGUCGAAGGGAGUGGCGAACGGGUGCGUAACACGUGAGUAACCUGCCCUUUUCUUUUGGAUAAGCCUGGGAAACUGGGUCUAAUACUGGAUGGUUUGGGAUGGGCUCGCGGCUUAUUAGCUUGUUGGUGGGGUGAUGGCUUACCAAGGCUUUGACGGGUAGCCGGCCUGAGAGGGUGAUCGGUCAAACUGGGACUGAGAUACGGCCCAGACUCCUACGGGAGGCAGCAGUGGGGAAUAUUGGACAAGGGGCGCAAGCCUGAUGGAGCCAUGCCGCGUGUAUGAAGAAGGCCUUCGGGUUGUAAAGUACUUUCAGCGGGGAGGCGUUACCCGAAGAAGAAGCACCGGCUAACUCCGUGCCAGCAGCCGCGGUAAUAC
This 408-nucleotide ribosomal RNA is filed under the name uncultured bacterium. RNAcentral describes it as "partial 16S ribosomal RNA". It matches the Rfam family "Bacterial small subunit ribosomal RNA", at positions 28 to 526 of the family's 1533-position model. The record is from RNAcentral.